RNAcentral lists this ribosomal RNA (253 nucleotides) under uncultured bacterium. RNAcentral describes it as "partial 16S ribosomal RNA". It matches the Rfam family "Bacterial small subunit ribosomal RNA", at positions 524 to 776 of the family's 1533-position model. The record is from RNAcentral.
UACGUAGGGGGCAAGCGUUGUCCGGAAUCAUUGGGCGUAAAGAGCGUGUAGGCGGUCCGAUAAGUCGGUUGUGAAAGUCCAGGGCUCAACCCUGGGAUGCCGACCGAUACUGUCGGACUAGAGUUCGGAAGAGGCGAGUGGAAUUCCCGGUGUAGCGGUGAAAUGCGCAGAUAUCUGGAGGAACACCGGUGGCGAAGGCGGCAUCCUGGACCGAUAUUGACGCUGAUGCGCGAAAGCCAGGGGAGCAAACGGG